CUACGGGUGGCUCCAGUGGGGAAUCUUGGACAAUGGGCGCAAGCCUGAUCCAGCCAUGCCGCGUGAGUGAAGAAGGCCUUAGGGUCGUAAAGCUCUUUCGCCAGAGAUGAUAAUGACAGUAUCUGGUAAAGAAACCCCGGCUAACUCCGUGCCAGCAGCCGCGGUAAUACGGAGGGGGUUAGCGUUGUUCGGAAUUACUGGGCGUAAAGCGCGCGUAGGCGGAUUAGUCAGUCAGAGGUGAAAUCCUAGGGCUCAACCCUGGAACUGCCUUUGAUACUGCUAGUCUUGAGUGCGAGAGAGGUGAGUGGAAUUCCGAGUGUAGAGGUGAAAUUCGUAGAUAUUCGGAGGAACACCAGUGGCGAAGGCGGCUCACUGGCUCGAUACUGACGCUGAGGUGCGAAAGUGUGGGGAGCAAACAGGAUUAGAUACCCUCGUAGUC
RNAcentral lists this ribosomal RNA (439 nucleotides) under uncultured bacterium. RNAcentral's name for it is "partial 16S ribosomal RNA". It matches the Rfam family "Bacterial small subunit ribosomal RNA", at positions 339 to 795 of the family's 1533-position model. The record is from RNAcentral.